GAUGAACGCUGGCGGCGUGCUUAACACAUGCAAGUCGAACGAAGCACUUUAUUUGAUUUCCUUCGGGCCUGAUUAUUUUGUGACUGAGUGGCGGACGGGUGAGUAACUCGUGGGUAACCUGCCUUGUACAGGGGGAGAACAGUUGGAAACGGCUGCUAAUACCGCAUAAGCGCGCAGCAUCGCAUGAUGCGGUGGGAAAAACUCGGGGGGUAUAAGAUGGACCCGCGUUGGUUUUGCUAGUUGGUGAGGUAACGGCACACCAAGGCCACGAUCCAUAGCCGAGCGGGGAGGGUGACAGACCACAAUGGAACUGCGGCACGGACUCAACCGCGAGGGGAGGCAGCAGUAGAGUAUAUUACACACGGGGCGAAAGCGCGACGAAGCGACGCGGCGGGAGAGAAGCAUUAGUUUGGUAUGUAAAGCUGUAUGAGAAGGGAAGAGAAUGACGGUACCGGACAAAGAAGCACCGGCUAAAUACGUG
RNAcentral lists this ribosomal RNA (481 nucleotides) under uncultured bacterium. RNAcentral describes it as "partial 16S ribosomal RNA". It matches the Rfam family "Bacterial small subunit ribosomal RNA", at positions 28 to 507 of the family's 1533-position model. The record is from RNAcentral.